Molecule: ribosomal RNA, 400 nt
Filed under: uncultured bacterium
Lineage: Bacteria
Description: bacterial SSU rRNA
Rfam family: Bacterial small subunit ribosomal RNA
Source: RNAcentral
UAAGGAAUCUUCCACAAUGGGGGCAACCCUGAUGGAGCAACGCCGCGUGCGGGAUGAAGGCCUUCGGGUCGUAAACCGCUUUUGUUAGCGAAGAAUAUGACGGUAACUAACGAAUAAGGGUCGGCUAACUACGUGCCAGCAGCCGCGGUCAUACGUAGGACCCAAGCGUUAUCCGGAGUGACUGGGCGUAAAGAGUUGCGUAGGUGGCUCAUUAAGCGAGUAGUGAAAUCGUGUGGCUCAACCAUACGGCUAUUACUCGAACUGGUGAGCUCGAGAAUGGUAGAGGUAGCUGGAAUUUCUAGUGUAGGAGUGAAAUCCGUAGAUAUUAGAAGGAACACCAAUGGCGUAGGCAGGCUACUGGACCAUUUCUGACACUGAGGCACGAAAGCGUGGGGAGCGA